Molecule: long non-coding RNA, 369 nt
Filed under: Pan troglodytes (chimpanzee)
Lineage: Eukaryota; Metazoa; Chordata; Mammalia; Primates; Hominidae
Description: long non-coding RNA NONPTRT007458
Source: RNAcentral
CUGUAAUUCCAGCUACUCAAGAGGCUGAGUCAGGAGAAUCACUUGAACUCAAGAGGCAGAGGCUGCAGUGAGCUGAGAUCGUGCUACUGCACUCCAGCCUGAGUGACAAGAGCGAAACUCCAUCUCAAAAAAAAAAAAAAAGAAGCUUUAUGCCUACAAUGAUACCAGGCUUUGGAGGUUUCAUAAACAAAUUAUUAAAUAUAUCAAAAAUAUAUACAAAUUAUAAAUAUGUGUAGAUUUAUAUAUUAUAUGUUUAUAUCAUAGUUCGAUAAAUGGCUCCAAGGUACAGAAAAGAACCCAGAGUUUUCAACAUAUUUGUACAAAGGUUAGCAUAACCCUGGUAAACAAAUUUUAAUAAAUUGUAUGUGU